Molecule: unclassified non-coding RNA, 324 nt
Filed under: Hevea brasiliensis (rubber tree)
Lineage: Eukaryota; Viridiplantae; Streptophyta; Magnoliopsida; Malpighiales; Euphorbiaceae
Source: RNAcentral
CCGGAGCUUACCUUCUGUGAAAUUAGGCGUCUGACAUUUUCUAGCCAAAAUUACGGCAUCGUUUAAAGAAUGGGAAAUGGAGUGAAGGAGGUCAAGACAUAGUGGGUUGGAGGUGGAAGCCGGGAAAUCAGCAAAAUCGGUGAGUUGGAUAUGGAGAUCAGCAAGCUUGGUUCUGAUUAGAGCCCAUUUGCCUUUAAAGGUCUGUACUUGAAUGAUUUCGUCUAAAAGAGACUGUAGAAGCUGAUUUGAGACAUUGAUAGGAUCGUCUUCUGCCACUUUCAUGGCGCUUUACAGGCUUUUAGGAGAUUUCAGAGAAAAAAAGAG